This is a long non-coding RNA of Dama dama (fallow deer), 555 nucleotides long. RefSeq lists it as uncharacterized. NCBI's taxonomy places the organism in Eukaryota, Metazoa, Chordata, Mammalia, Artiodactyla, Cervidae. The record is from RefSeq and is a predicted model, not a curated record. The transcript is spliced from 3 exons.
CCAUGCUGCCUGGAGUCUGCGUAGCUCCAGCAACCAGCCUGCCUUGGAGGAAUGAGAAUCAGAGGCUCUGCUCCGGCUGAUACAUCUGGAGCUACUCUAUGGCAUCAGCUGUAUACUUUCAAAGAAAUGGAGGCCAGGGGCAAGAUGAAAAACAUACCAGACCACAAGUCAAGAGAUCCUGGAUCUAACUUUGACUGAGUUUCAACCUGUGUGGCCGAUGAAGUCUGCAGAGCAAGACUACAUGCCUUGUGGAAUCUUAGUUCCCUGACCAGGGAUUGAACUUCUAUCCCCUGCAGUGGAAGCGUAGAGUUUUAACCACUGGAUCACCAUGGAAUUCCCAAAAUACAUGUAUUAAAAACACUUUGGACCAAGAAUAAUCCUCAGGUGUGGGUCUAAAAAUCACAGCUGCUCUAAUUCAUUACAGCUCCUCUUACAGCUCACAGGACAAAAAUAGCAAAACCGGUCCUUCUUGUUCCUAACUAAAUAAUUCCUACUAUGCAAAUGGUGGCAAGCCGGAUUUGUUACACACGUGGUUCCACUUUCAAUCACUGUGGU